Long non-coding RNA from Gossypium arboreum, 1998 nucleotides. RefSeq lists it as uncharacterized. The transcript is spliced from 3 exons. The record is from RefSeq and is a predicted model, not a curated record. Lineage: Eukaryota; Viridiplantae; Streptophyta; Magnoliopsida; Malvales; Malvaceae.
GAUUAUGUUGUGGUGACAACUUUCUCUUUUUUAUCUUUAUUUAUUUGCCUAUGGAUUUCAUCUGCCCUUCAUUCAUUCUUCAACAAUGUUCAUAAGAAUUAUCGUGUAAACCUUAACCAACUUUUGGCUAAUGCAUGGGGUGUUUUGGUCGAGUUUUUCUUUCUAUACUAGGAAAAAGGAUUUACACCUUUUCUGAAUCUAUUUAUUUGUAAUCCAAAAUAAAUAAAUAGUUGGUUUUAUCUUACUAAGUGGAAGAAAGUGUAUGAAGGGAUGAAAGAAAUUAUAAUUGCCGAUAAGGAUGGGUUUGUGGUUAUUAAGAGAAAGAGAGAAGUUGAUUGGGGCCCUAGGUAUAUAGAUAUGAACAAGUUUACUCCUGUUUUUGGUGAAGAGAAUAAGGCUAUGGAGAUCUUUCUGCAAUGAAGAUUUCGUUUUAAGGAAAUUUUGACAAGAUAGAAGGUUUGAGAAUAUUUCCUAGGUUGGAAAACUGGUGUGGUUUCAAGGGGAAUCCUAGUUCAACUUGGUGUGCCACCAGGGAAGAAUGUGGUUUGCUCGUGUAUAUAUUUUUGUUUGUGUUCUUAAUUAUACCAUGUAGUGAUCGUAAUAUGACAUUGUUUGCUCAAGGAGAAUAAGACGAGGGUCUAUUUCCAAUUUAUGUUGUAAGGGUUUAGUAUGUCUUUCGAGUCACUACAUUUCCCUCACUUUUUCUAUCACUUACGGCUAUUGGUUGGAGUUUGCGACCAUUUUUCAGCAUAAGUGAAGGUUUUUUACUAUUACCUCUUCUUCAAGGGAUAAUCCAAGUGGUAGAUCUGAUGAGGAUGAGGUUCCAUUGACGUUAGGAACCAAUUAAGAAGCAUGAGGCAGUCAAAAAAGGGAGAGCCACUAGUAUCUCCAAAUGCAUAUGGGAUAAGCUAAGUUUUGACUAGUCAUUAUAUAAAACAUGUUCCAACAGGGAGAAUGAGCAAACUAAGGGAAAAGGUGCAACAAAAGAGCGUUGAAAAAAGAAGAGAGAUAACCAUGGUGAAGCUUGCACCAAUUCCAUCUGCAACAAGAGAAAUAUUGUUUUUAAGACACUUGUUAGUUUAGAUGAGGAUAAGGGGAAGUCUGUUGUAGAUCAGACUGUCGGUGAAGUUGUUAUCAAUGAGAAAACCGAUUGUGAUUGGUUAACAAGUGUCUAGACUAGGGUUGGAUCCAUGGGUGCAAAUUGGUGCUCUCAACCUGCUUAACUUCGUAGCAAUCACUGUGGAAGAGGAAGGAGGUGACGUCACGCCAAAGUGCAACAGAAAUAGAAAACAAUUUCUUGAAAAAGAAUGAAGCAGAAAAGGUCUUGUUGAAGUCACAAGAGCUAAAUUUGAAGGUGGCACAGAGAGACUUGAGUAAAUAACUGCAACCGAACAUGAGUUGAAGGCAGAGCUUACUAAGGUGCACUAGUUCACCAAUUUGGUAGCAACUCAGCAUGCUACUGGCAUAGAGAAACUUCACAUAGAGGCUAAGCCAACAAAGAAGAAAAUUUGAAACCUUUAUAGGUAAUUGCAAGAAGAGAGAACCGGGAAUGAGGAGGUUAUGUUAGUUGCCAAAGUAUAUCAUGAGGCCACUUCAAUGGAGGUGCAAUUUUUAUAUUGACCUUUGGACUGGUCGAAUGUGUUUUUGUUUAAAGACCUCAAAUUAAUUUUCAUGGACUACAAUGCUGUCAACCCUUUUGAGGAGGAACUUGAGGAAAUAUGGCCCAGGUUGCUAGAGAUUUUCCCAAGGUUGAUGGUGUCAAUAUUGUUUCUAAGUCUUCUAUUAAUGUUGCUACCAUCGUUUGAUCCAAGCUCCAUGUUAAACGAUACAAUUGCUAAUUAUUCAUCGCCUUCAAAGGGUUGAAAGUUUUGUUUUUUUGUUGAAUUUGUUGGCAUGUUUUCCAUUUGGAUGUUGGAGAGACUAAAUACCCUAAAUGUUUGAACUCCAUUAUUGGGUUAAGGGAGCCCCAUAUAUAUAUAAAUGCAUUAUCCUAUAUUA